RNAcentral lists this ribosomal RNA (376 nucleotides) under uncultured bacterium. Its description in RNAcentral is "bacterial SSU rRNA". It matches the Rfam family "Bacterial small subunit ribosomal RNA", at positions 28 to 342 of the family's 1533-position model. The record is from RNAcentral.
GACGAACGCUGGCGGCGCGCCUAACACAUGCAAGUCGAACGGAGACACUCUGUUCACUGAAUGGUAGAAGGCGGCGGAACCAGAAAGGGAGCGUCGGUUUUUCUACUGUUGAGUGAAUAGAGUGUCUUAGUGGCGGACGGGUGAGUAGCGCGUGAAUAACCUGCCUUGCAGUGGGGAAUAACACACCGAAAGGUGUGCUAAUACCGCAUGAUGUAAGGGGAAGGCAUCUUCCUCUUACCAAAGAUUUAUCGCUGUGAGAUGGAUUCGCGUCCGAUUAGAUAGUUGGUGAGGUAACGGCCCACCAAGUCGACGAUCGGUAGCCGGACUGAGAGGUUGAACGGCCACAUUGGGACUGAGACACGGCCCAGACUCCUAC